CAGUAAUUUUGCUAGGACUGUUUGGGAGUGGUCUGAGUGGGGAGAUGAAAACUAGUUAUUGACAGAGAGGUUUGGAACUCUUAUUUGUAUAUGAACUCAUUUGCAGCCUGGUGUUGUCACCAGGCAGGCCAAAACUCCAUCCCACCAAAACAGGCUGAAAUGUCAGGUGGUCUUUUCAAACAGCUCUUACACUAAAGGGCAUUAUCAUUUUCAUAGUAUUAUUCCAAGCUCAUAGUGUGGAUAUAUAGUGUUUGUGUGUAUAACACAGAGAAUUCACGUUUUUGUGUGCACUGAGCCUUUAACUCUGCCUCUGGUCUGUAAAAGUGUGUCACUGGGUUAAAGUGACUCAAGCGCCCAGGCAAGUGGGAGUGGCUGACAACUGGGUCACAUGGUUAACGCACUUUAGAACAUUGAGUACAGAAGAGUCGUUCAACAAGGGAGUUCGUCCAGCGUUUUUCAUCUUGUUACAUAUCUUUAAAUGUACAAAAACUAUUCCGGUUGUAUUAGAUGCCGCAUAAAAGUCUCGGGAAUUUUGACUGAAAGAAGACCGGAACUUAUUUUGUUCAGGAUACUGACAUGAGAGUGCAGAUAAUUAUAUUCAUGCUACCAAUAUUUACUACAGAAAUGUAGUUGAGACUGAAAUAAGAUAGUGUUGAGCUUUAGAUGAUCAACGCUUUUAAUUUGAGUUUGUUACAGUGUAACCACUGUGCUACUAAGGACAAUAGAACUUUGCAAUCCUUAAAGUCAAACUGGCGAGUUAUUGACAUGACAUUUAGUCAGCAUAGGUUGCUUUCUCCAAAUAUUCACGGAAUCGAGGCGCCUGCAGACAUGGGAUCAAUCAAGACUGCUGCCUAGCCAUGUGCCGAUGCUCCUCGACUCUCACUGCUCAUUGGUCGAGAAGAGGCUGUGACGCAUGCAGUGCAUGAAUCUGCACUUAGUCCAAGCUCGCCGGCGGCAUGCAGGUCCACGUGAGACUGAAGGAGGCUGUUUUGGUGACCUAGAUUUAAUCUCUUAGACCUGACAGCUCCACAUGUGGGUGGGUUUUGGAAGAGAAUAGUCGUAGCUGGUUAGGUAAUCAUGGCCAGGUCUUCGAGACCAUUAACUACAUUUAGGGCUACAUAGUAUAGUAUAAUAUAUAUGUUGAUUUUUGUGACAGUACACCAAGCAGCAUGUGUAUUAUUUUCCUAGUUUGUCUUAUUUAGCCCAUAUUUAAGCAUUUGGUUUAAUGUCUACAUUCUUAUGUAAUAAUGUUAUUUAACACCAAUGACUACAAGAAUAACUUUGAUUUUGCCAGAAACUAAAAUACAAUAUAUUUUUGUGCCCUGUCAAGCAAAAGAGCAGUAACUGCUCAUAAAUGGAAAUGUAGAAAAAUUACUUCAGUGUUUUUUAAUUGUGGAGCCAAAUGAA
This 1407-nucleotide long non-coding RNA is filed under the name Oncorhynchus kisutch (coho salmon). RNAcentral describes it as "lncRNA (ENSOKIG00005027767.1)". Lineage: Eukaryota; Metazoa; Chordata; Actinopteri; Salmoniformes; Salmonidae. The record is from RNAcentral.